GACGAACCGUGCGAAAGUUGUUCGGAAUCACUGGGCUUAAAGGGCGCGUAGGCGGCUUGCCAAGUCAGUGGUGAAAUCCCGCAGCUUAACUGCGGAAGUGCCUUUGAUACUGGCGAGCUCGAGGGAGGUAGGGGUAUGUGGAACUUCUGGUGGAGCGGUGAAAUGCGUUGAUAUCAGAAGGAACGCCGGUGGCGAAAGCGACGUACUGGACCUCUUCUGACGCUGAGGCGCGAAAGCUAGGGGAGCAAACGG
This 252-nucleotide ribosomal RNA is filed under the name uncultured bacterium. Its description in RNAcentral is "partial 16S ribosomal RNA". It matches the Rfam family "Bacterial small subunit ribosomal RNA", at positions 524 to 775 of the family's 1533-position model. The record is from RNAcentral.